This is a non-coding RNA of Chromatiales bacterium, 71 nucleotides long. Lineage: Bacteria; Pseudomonadati; Pseudomonadota; Gammaproteobacteria; Chromatiales. The record is from Rfam.
GCGGGUGUAGUUCAAUGGUAGAACAUCAGCUUCCCAAGCUGAUAGCGUGGGUUCGAUUCCCAUCACCCGCU